GGGGAUGUAGCUCAGCGGUGCAGCGCCCGCCUGGCAAGCGUGAGGCCCUGGGUUCGAUUCCCGGUACCA
This 69-nucleotide transfer RNA is filed under the name Fukomys damarensis (Damara mole-rat). It matches the Rfam family "tRNA". From Rfam's summary of the family: Transfer RNA (tRNA) molecules are approximately 80 nucleotides in length. Their secondary structure includes four short double-helical elements and three loops (D, anti-codon, and T loops). The record is from Rfam by way of RNAcentral. Lineage: Eukaryota; Metazoa; Chordata; Mammalia; Rodentia; Bathyergidae.